This 661-nucleotide long non-coding RNA is filed under the name Jatropha curcas. Its description in RNAcentral is "long non-coding RNA (JCUR_LNC001561)". The record is from RNAcentral. Lineage: Eukaryota; Viridiplantae; Streptophyta; Magnoliopsida; Malpighiales; Euphorbiaceae.
UGACAACUUGUUAAUAACAGAAAGUAAUAAUUCGAUUCAAAAAUUAUUCAUAAUGUACAUAAUUGAAAGAUAUUUUUCUGUGUGAUAGACUGUGGAUGUAUAAACAGGGGAAUGAAAAAUAAACAGACGGAACACAAUCUCAAAUCAAGCAAAGCAUACAGUACAACAUAGAACAUUGGUUUCUUAUUAUGGUCAAAAAGCAGUUAAAAUAGCAUCUGAGGUAGCAAUUUGAACUGAAAACAUUGUCUUAAGCAGAAGUUCAGAGAGUAUCUAAAUGACAAAGCAUUGCCCCCAAUUAGAACCUGAUCAAGUAGCACUUAAUCUCAUAGCCAAGUGCAACUUGCCCAGAAAAAAAAAAAAAAAAAGGUCAACAAAUAAACCAAAUUACUCAACGUAUUCUAGCAACAUACGCAACAGAGGCUGCAACCAAAACUGUUGCUGCUGAAGAUACCAAAGCCCAUAAGCCUUUCUUCUUAUUUGCAUCUGCCACAGAAUUCUGGAGGAACUUCACUUGUUGCUUCAUCUCCUCUAUUGCUGUUUCCUUGUUUCUAAAUGAAUUUUUAAUUACUUUUAGUUCUGUUGCAUAUGGCUCAAUUUCAUCCUCAAUUUUCUUUUCAGUGAAGGACACUUCUCCCUUUCCAUUAUUAUAUUGACGUANNNN